This 357-nucleotide ribosomal RNA is filed under the name Metschnikowia continentalis. RNAcentral describes it as "LSU rRNA". It matches the Rfam family "Eukaryotic large subunit ribosomal RNA", at positions 3017 to 3401 of the family's 3401-position model. The record is from RNAcentral. Lineage: Eukaryota; Fungi; Ascomycota; Pichiomycetes; Serinales; Metschnikowiaceae.
UAGUAAUUGAACUUAGUACGAGAGGAACCGUUCAUUCAGAUAAUUGGUAUAUGGCUUUGUUUGAUAAAGCAUUGAGCCGAAGCUACCAUCUGCUGGAUUAUGGCUGAACGCCUCUAAGUCAGAAUCCAUGCUAGAAGUAAUGAUAUUUUGAGAAAAGGUUAAUAUAAGCUUUUUAUAAGCUCGAGACCAUAUAGUGAAUGAUUCUGGGAUAGAAAUUCUCAGUGAUGCACUUGAAGUAAAAUAAUAUUUUUGAGAUCCUAAGUAUACGACUUAGUGGGAACAUGGUAUUGUAAGUGGUAGAGUAGCCUUGUUGUUACGAUCCAUUGAGAUUUCCAAUGUUCGAAGAUUUGCUUUGGC